Molecule: non-coding RNA, 101 nt
Submitted as: unclassified sequences
Source: Rfam
CGGAUCUUAUAAGGCAGCACGCUGCCGAAAUCGUCUGCAAUCCGGGUGCCGCACAUAUGCGGUGACGACCAUUCUCUUCUACCGUCGCAUGACGGCUCUCU